GCAGCAUUUUAGUUUGCUUGCAAACUAAAGAUGGCGACCGGCGCACGGGUGAGUAACACGUAUCCAACCUGCCGAUAACUCGGGGAUAGCCUUUCGAAAGAAAGAUUAAUAUCCGAUAGUAUAUUAAAACCGCAUGGUUUUACUAUUAAAGAAUUUCGGUUAUCGAUGGGGAUGCGUUCCAUUAGUUUGUUGGCGGGGUAACGGCCCACCAAGACUACGAUGGAUAGGGGUUCUGAGAGGAAGGUCCCCCACAUUGGAACUGAGACACGGUCCAAACUCCUACGGGAGGCAGCAGUGAGGAAUAUUGGUCAAUGGACGAGAGUCUGAACCAGCCAAGUAGCGUGAAGGAUGACUGCCCUAUGGGUUGUAAACUUCUUUUAUAUGGGAAUAAAGUAUUCCACGUGUGGAAUUUUGUAUGUACCAUAUGAAUAAGGAUCGGCUAACUCCGUGCCAGCAGCCGCGGUAAUACGGAGGAUCCGAGCGUUAUCCGGAUUUAUUGGGUUUAAAGGGAGCGUAGGUGGAUUGUUAAGUCAGUUGUGAA
RNAcentral lists this ribosomal RNA (541 nucleotides) under uncultured bacterium. RNAcentral describes it as "bacterial SSU rRNA". It matches the Rfam family "Bacterial small subunit ribosomal RNA", at positions 69 to 598 of the family's 1533-position model. The record is from RNAcentral.